Molecule: ribosomal RNA, 459 nt
Filed under: uncultured bacterium
Lineage: Bacteria
Description: partial 16S ribosomal RNA
Rfam family: Bacterial small subunit ribosomal RNA
Source: RNAcentral
CCUACGGGUGGCAGCAGUGAGGAAUAUUGGUCAAUGGGCGCGAGCCUGAACCAGCCAAGUAGCGUGAAGGAUGACUGCCCUACGGGUUGUAAACUUCUUUUAUAAAGGACUAAGUGAGGCACGUGUGACUUUUUGUAUGUACUUUAUGAAUUAGGAUCGGCUAACUUAGUGCCAGCAGCCGAGGUAAUACGGAGGAUCCGAGCGUUAUCCGGAUUUAUUGGGUUUAAAGGGAGCGUAGAUGGGUUGUUAAGUCAGUUGUGAAAGUUUGCGGCGCAACCGUUACAUUGCAAUUGAUACUGGCAGGCUUGAGUACAGUUGAGGUAGGCGGAAUGCGUGGUGUAGCGGUGAAAUGCUUAGAUAUCACGAAGAACUCCGAUUGCGAAGGCAGCUUACUAAACUGCCACUGACAUUGAUGCUCGAAAGUGUGGGUAUCAAACAGGAUUAGAUACCCUUGUAGUC